Small nuclear RNA from Peromyscus eremicus (cactus mouse), 107 nucleotides. Lineage: Eukaryota; Metazoa; Chordata; Mammalia; Rodentia; Cricetidae. The record is from RefSeq and is a predicted model, not a curated record.
UGAUGAUCACACUGGCAGCACAUCACUAAAAUUGGAAUGAUAAGAGAAAAUUUGCAGGGCCCCUCCCCACAGGUGACAUAUAAAUUCAUGAAGCGUUCCAUAUUAAA